This 72-nucleotide transfer RNA is filed under the name Capra hircus (goat). It matches the Rfam family "tRNA". Rfam says of the family: Transfer RNA (tRNA) molecules are approximately 80 nucleotides in length. Their secondary structure includes four short double-helical elements and three loops (D, anti-codon, and T loops). Lineage: Eukaryota; Metazoa; Chordata; Mammalia; Artiodactyla; Bovidae. The record is from Rfam by way of RNAcentral. RNAcentral also lists the same sequence under 1 other name.
UCCCUGGUGGCUCAGACGGUAAAGCAUCUGCCUGCAAUGCGGGAGACCAGGGUUCGAUUCCUGGGUUGGGAA